RNAcentral lists this ribosomal RNA (379 nucleotides) under uncultured bacterium. RNAcentral describes it as "bacterial SSU rRNA". It matches the Rfam family "Bacterial small subunit ribosomal RNA", at positions 28 to 404 of the family's 1533-position model. The record is from RNAcentral.
GACGAACGCUGGCGGCGUGCUUAACACAUGCAAGUCGAGCGGUAAGGCCCUUUCGGGGGUACACGAGCGGCGAACGGGUGAGUAACACGUGGGUGACCUGCCCUCAGCUCUGGGAUAAGCCUGGGAAACCGGGUCUAAUACCGGAUAUGACUCCAUGACGCAUGUUGUGGGGUGGAAAGCCUUGUGCGGCUGAGGAUGGGCCCGCGGCCUAUCAGCUUGUUGGUGGGGUGAUGGCCUACCAAGGCGACGACGGGUAGCCGGCCUGAGAGGGCGACCGGCCACACUGGGACUGAGACACGGCCCAGACUCCGUACGGGAGGCAGCAGGUGGGGAAUCUUGCGCAAGUGGGACGAAAGCCUGACGCAGCGACGCCGCGUGA